UACGUAGGAGACGAGCGUUGUCCGGAAUUAUUGGGCGUAAAGGGCGCGUAGGCGGCCUGGCAAGUGGAAGGUGAAAUCCCUCGGCUUAACCGAGGAACUGCCCUCCAAACUGCUUGGCUUGAGUCCGGGAGAGGUGAGUGGAAUUCCCAGUGUAGCGGUGAAAUGCGUAGAUAUUGGGAAGAACACCGGUGGCGAAGGCAGCCCCCUGGGUCAAUACUGACGCUCAUGCACGAAAGCGUGGGGAGCAAACAGG
This 253-nucleotide ribosomal RNA is filed under the name uncultured bacterium. RNAcentral's name for it is "partial 16S ribosomal RNA". It matches the Rfam family "Bacterial small subunit ribosomal RNA", at positions 524 to 776 of the family's 1533-position model. The record is from RNAcentral.